CUGCAGCAUUGAAAUUUUACUCCCCAUUUUCAUAGCACUAAUGAAGAAGGGACCUGCUACACCGGCGCCCUCUGUGGCUUGGGCUGGAACAGCCAAACACAGAAGGGCAUCCUACCUGAGAAUGACAUUGAGCUCGCCUUCAAUGUCAAGUUUGAUGCUGAAGAUAUCAUCCAGGUAAGUCAUCACCAGGACGACUCCAGUGCAUUAAACUGUUUUACAAGUUAUAUGUCACCACAAGAAAUGAUAUGUUUUUUAAGCUUUACAGCUCUCUGAUGUUUUUCUUAAAGCAAAAAUAAUCCGUGAAGGACAACAAGCACAGAGUAAAAACUAACAUCAACACCAGUUUUUGAUCAAGCUGUACUUUGUGGUACUGGCUCUGGCAUUUUAAUGAUCAGCAUGUUUUACUGCAGGGCUCUCACAUCAUGAAUCACUCUCUUUUUGUAUUACUGAUUGGUUAUUAAUUUCUUUGGCUCUCUUUAGAUCAACGCCUUGCGAGCGGCUAUAAACCGUCUGGUGUGUGAAGGUGUCAACGGCACUCUACAUCUGGGGCCCAACAAGAUCGCCCAGCUGCAGGAGGACUGCCAGGACCGCCUCAUCGGGUAGCAAACACAGAGCCACUGAAAACAGUCAUUAACAGUAUGAAUAAGAAAUGUUCGGUAUGUUUUUAUUAUGCCUUUCAGACUUUUCACCAAGUCUCCACCCAGAGAAGCUGUCACCCCUAUGGAGAAAUACCUGAUGUGGAAUCAGGUAUACACACACAAUAGGGCUCCUUUUCUGUACUGUAGAUUGUCGCUUUUGUUGCUCGUUAUCCCCGCCCAUUGUUUGAUGAGUACAUUUAAACCAAGUUUAAAAGAAACUCUCUCUCUCUCUCUCUCUGUGUGUGUGUGUGUGUGUGUGUGUGUGUGUGUGUGUGUGUGUGUGUGUGUGUUGAACCUGCUGGCGGAUCCUGCUCUGGAGAAGCUCAAUGUUGAGCCUGGAAGCACAGGGACCAGAGAUGUUCUCUUCCAGCUACAUCCUUUUACCCCCCUCAACAGCUAAGAAGCUGUUGAACGAACAAAUUUCGUUUCAUGACGUUAUUGCGUUGUGCAUUGCUUAGCUAAAGCCUUUGUAGUUAAUUGUGAUUUUCCUGCCAAACUGAGAUGUAAGGCCAGUGCCUUAGUGUGAUUUUUUUUUUUACAUACUGUAAUUAAAAAAAAAUCUACUCCAAUAAGCUGCGAUGUCUCACUUGUGGUAUUUUCUUGACAGUGAGAAAAAUGUACUCAAAACUUUUUUAUUUUUAUUUUUUAUCACAAAAUCCU
Xyrichtys novacula (pearly razorfish) is the source of this 1298-nucleotide non-coding RNA. The record is from the annotation of a GenBank genome assembly. Lineage: Eukaryota; Metazoa; Chordata; Actinopteri; Labriformes; Labridae.